ACCCGCUGAACUUAAGCAUAUCAAUAAGCGGAGGAAAAGAAACCAACAGGGAUUGCCCUAGUAACGGCGAGUGAAGCGGCAACAGCUCAAAUUUGAAAUCUGGCGUCUUUGGCGUCCGAGUUGUAAUUUGUAGAGGAUGCUUUUGGGUUGCCACCGGUCUAAGUUCCUUGGAACAGGACGUCAUAGAGGGUGAGAAUCCCGUAUGUGACCGGCUUAGGCACCCUUUGUAAAGCUCCUUCGACGAGUCGAGUUGUUUGGGAAUGCAGCUCUAAAUGGGAGGUAAAUUUCUUCUAAAGCUAAAUACCGGCCAGAGACCGAUAGCGCACAAGUAGAGUGAUCGAAAGAUGAAAAGCACUUUGGAAAGAGAGUUAAAAAGCACGUGAAAUUGUUGAAAGGGAAGCGCUUGCAAUCAGACUUGCCCGCGGUUGUUCAGCCGGUCUUCUGACCGGUUUACUCUUCCGUGGGCAGGCCAGCAUCAGUUUCGGCGGCCGGAUAAAGGCCUUGGGAAUGUAGCACCCCCUCGGGGGUGUGUUAUAGCCCAGGGUGUAAUACGGCCUGCUGGGACUGAGGUCCGCGCUUCGGCUAGGAUGCUGGCGUAAUGGUUGU
Molecule: ribosomal RNA, 606 nt
Filed under: uncultured fungus
Lineage: Eukaryota; Fungi
Description: eukaryotic LSU rRNA
Rfam family: Eukaryotic large subunit ribosomal RNA
Source: RNAcentral